This 315-nucleotide unclassified non-coding RNA is filed under the name uncultured Penicillium. RNAcentral describes it as "sequence contains ITS1". The stretch from base 1 to 105 matches the Rfam family "5.8S ribosomal RNA", at positions 50 to 154 of the family's 154-position model. Lineage: Eukaryota; Fungi; Ascomycota; Eurotiomycetes; Eurotiales; Aspergillaceae. The record is from RNAcentral.
GAAAUGCGAUAAUUAAUGUGAAUUGCAGAAUUCAGUGAAUCAUCGAGUCUUUGAACGCACAUUGCGCCCUCUGGUAUUCCGGAGGGCAUGCCUGUCCGAGCGUCAUUGCUGCCCUCAAGCACGGCUUGUGUGUUGGGCCACCGUCCCCCGUCCGCGGGGGACGGGCCCGAAAGGCAGCGGCGGCACCGCGUCCGGUCCUCGAGCGUAUGGGGCUUCGUCACCCGCUCUUGCAGGCCCGGCCGGCGCCAGCCGACCCCCUCAACCAAAUUUCUCCAGGUUGACCUCGGAUCAGGUAGGGAUACCCGCUGAACUUAA